RNAcentral lists this long non-coding RNA (1013 nucleotides) under Equus asinus (donkey). Its description in RNAcentral is "lncRNA (ENSEASG00005028921.1)". Lineage: Eukaryota; Metazoa; Chordata; Mammalia; Perissodactyla; Equidae. The record is from RNAcentral.
CAACAAAAAGAUGGGUGGUUUAUUGAAGGUUUGGUCCAGACACUUAUAAAAAUACAAACUGGCAUGAAAUUCAACCACAUGGCAAGUCUAUCUUCACAGAAGACAAGUGAGUGACCCCCUGGGGAGGGCAAGGUGCUACCCCAGAGAAGAGGCCCACUGGGCACUGGGCACAGAUAGCAGGCCUGGGCUUCUUCCUUGCUCUGAUCCAGCAGUCGACCUGUCCCCAGAUCUUCGGCCUUGGCCCCCAGCAGGCUCAAGGACUCAGUCCCACAAAAUCCCAGUCUUCCUGGGGGAUGGCAUGACACCAUCAAAGCAGCUGAUAGAGACCCUAUGUUUGCCCUGCCUCUGCUCAAGAGAGCCCAGGGCUGUCUCCCCUGCAGCUCCUCUUUAGCCUGUGAGGAGGGAGUCGGUAUCUCUCAGGGUCACCUCAGACCCUCUGACUGCCCCCAUCACUCUUCCAUCUUGUCUGUCUGGCUUGGCAAUCCCAGCUCAGGUAGCAGGGGUCCCUCCUCCAGGGAAUCUUGGAAGGGCUCUGGCUCCUGGAGGUGGCAGGAAGGGUCGGCUUGGCUCAGAGAACUCGCAGGAGACGCAGAAUUGGGAGCAGCAGCAGCAGCAAGAGACAGAGGGGGCUGGGAGUGCCCCCCCCUUGCCACCCUGAUGUGCCACUCUCUCCAGGGCUCCCAACAGGAUGGGCUGACUCGGACUCUGUGAGGUGUAGGGGGUGGCACUGGUGAGUCCUCCAUUUCAGCAGCCUCCUUCCAGCCCUCCCCAUUAGCUGUUCACUACCAUCCCAUUCUCAGGGUCUCCCAAACCAGGCACUCCCUUCCUAUCCUCUAUCACCUCAUCCUCUUUAAGCCUCAACGUCCAAGUCUCCCCCAAAUUGCCACUAGAGACAAGGAGUUCAGCUCAGAUGUUGAAGGGCCUUGUUCCUGGAGAUGCCCUUCCCUCAGCCCAGCAUAAAGGGGUGCAGUGGAAGCUCCCACAAGGCUAAAUGGGGAAGAAGAGGCCAUGGC